This is a long non-coding RNA of Diachasmimorpha longicaudata, 746 nucleotides long. RefSeq lists it as uncharacterized. Lineage: Eukaryota; Metazoa; Arthropoda; Insecta; Hymenoptera; Braconidae. The transcript has 2 exons. The record is from RefSeq and is a predicted model, not a curated record.
UUAAUGGUGGGGAAAAAAUCGGGGUCCGUUUUAGCUCCGAGAAGUUAUCAACUUAUUAUUGUAAUCAAUUAUUCCGCUCAUGCCCAAUCGUUUGAAGGUCCUUUGCAGGUCUAUGAUAGAUAAGAAUUAUUGUUUGAUCGAUCAUCGUUUUUUUUAAAUGAGUUUUUCAAAAAAAUGAAAUAUUUCUACGGAAGUUAUCAUCUUUUUUUUUUUAAUUUAGCCCUAGAAUGUUGAAUGACCGCUCAAACGAUCGAGAAUCGUUUGCAGGUGAUUGAUAGAUGAUCAUCAAUCCCCUACAAAACACUAAUUAUGAAUUAUUGAUUAAAAAUCAUUUUGAGGUUACUGAGCUCAGCGGCGGCGGAGUAGGGAGGUCGCCAUAUUGCAUCCAACAGCUGAUUGCUGCUGCCAUUUUUAUGCGUAGCAGGAUGUUAUUCACAUUUCGAUGCUUCUAAUUUUCUAUAAUGUGUAUUUAAUUCAUAACCAGUUUGCAUGGCAACCGAUUGAAUGAAAUGGAUUAUUCGAAAAGCCACUAAAAAAGGAUCAACGAUUAUAUGUCAAGUCUUGUGAUCAUUUUGCAUCUGGAGAGCUCGAGAGGAUUCAUAGUUGAUGAAUUUUGCUGAAGAUCUUUCCCAGUAGUAAACUAGUUGAGAAUUUUUCUUUAUUUAAAAGAUAAGACUUGAAUAAAUUUUGUAAUCAUUAUAUUUUUUUAUUGAAAAACAAAUAAAUAUUCAUCUUUGAUAGAAUAA